AUGGUCUAUGAAAAUCCAAUGGCUAUUUUCGACUGGAUAGAUGUCCGUUUUACAAUUCCAAGUACUAACAUACAUAUUGUGGAUUGGAGGCGGGAGAGAAAUCUGCAAUGCAGGAAUACCAAACCCUAUGAACCGGGUGUGGUGGGAGUUGAUGUCUUGGACAGACAUGUAGAUCCCUCCGGAAAGUUGCACAGCUAGCUCUCUGAGCACAGAGUGGGGUGCCUUCCAUUGUGAAGUCUCUUAUUGGUGCAGCAAGAACCAAAACAUAUGUGCAAGAACAUUCUGUAGUUGACCCCGUAGAGAAAACAAUGGAACUUAAAUCUACUAAUAUUUCAUUUACAAAUAUGGUUUCAGUAGAUGAGAGACUUAUAUACAAACCACAUCCCCAGGACCCAGAAAAAACUGUUUUGACUCAAGAAGCCAUAAUCACUGUGAAAGGAGUCAGCCUUAGCAGUUACCUUGAAGGACUGAUGGCAAGUACCAUAUCUUCAAAUGCUAAUAAAGGCCGAGAAGUAAUGGAAUGGGUAAUACAUAAAUUAAAUGCCGAGAUUGAAGAACUGACGGCUUCAGCAAGAGGAAGCAUAAGGACUCUAAUGGCAGCAGCAGCAUUUGUAGAAAAAUGAUAAUACCAGUUGGUAGAUAACAUUGGGUGCCCCAGGUCUCUCCAAGCUGGCAAUAUUUAUUCAUUAUUUAAAAAAUACAACUA
Non-coding RNA from Microcebus murinus (gray mouse lemur), 706 nucleotides. NCBI's taxonomy places the organism in Eukaryota, Metazoa, Chordata, Mammalia, Primates, Cheirogaleidae. The record is from RefSeq and is a predicted model, not a curated record.